This 201-nucleotide long non-coding RNA is filed under the name Linum usitatissimum (flax). Its description in RNAcentral is "long non-coding RNA (LUSI_LNC003317)". The record is from RNAcentral. Lineage: Eukaryota; Viridiplantae; Streptophyta; Magnoliopsida; Malpighiales; Linaceae.
GAAUAUUUCAGUGAGCUCUGUAAUCUACGGUGGGUACGGCCAUGAUUAAUUACCAGUGAGAUGGAAAUGGUUGACUUCUAGAGAUUGCAAAGGACUGGUUUUGGUUUUGAUUAAAGACAGAGGAAUGAAUAGGAGGACGGAGGACUGGUCUGCUGACGUGGAUUCUGAUAUUUGGAGUUUAAGCAAGUUGGCAGGGACGGC